This 492-nucleotide ribosomal RNA is filed under the name uncultured bacterium. RNAcentral's name for it is "partial 16S ribosomal RNA". It matches the Rfam family "Bacterial small subunit ribosomal RNA", at positions 29 to 507 of the family's 1533-position model. The record is from RNAcentral.
AGUGAACGCUGGCGGUAGGCCUAACACAUGCAAGUCGAACGGCAGCACAGUAAGAGCUUGCUCUUACGGGUGGCGAGUGGCGGACGGGUGAGCAAUACAUCGGAAUCUACUUUUUCGUGGGGGCUAACGUAGGGAAACUUACGCUAAUACCGCAUACGACCUACGGGUGAAAGCAGGGGAUCUUCGGACCUUGCGCGAUUGAAUGAGCCGAUGUCGGAUUAGCUAGUUGGCGGGGUAAAGGCACACCAAGGCGACGAUCCGUAGCGGGUCUGAGAGGGUGAUCAGCUACACUGGAACUGAGACACGGUACAGACUCCUACGGGAGGCAGCAGUGGGGAAUAUUGGACAAUGGGCGCAAGCCGGAUCCAGCCAUACCGCGGGGGUGAAGAAGGCCUUCGGGUUGUAAAGCCCUGUUGUUGGGAAAGAAAAGCAGCAGGUUAAUACCGCGCUGUUCUGACGGUACCCAAAGAAUAAGCACCGGCUAACUUCGUG